AACGAACGCUGGCGGCAGGCUUAACACAUGCAAGUCGAACGCCCCGCAAGGGGAGUGGCAGACGGGUGAGUAACGCGUGGGAAUCUACCCAUCCCUACGGAAUAACGCAUGGAAACGUGUGCUAAUACCGUAUACGCCCUACGGGGGAAGAUUUAUCGGGGAUGGAUGAGGCCGCGUUGGAUUAGCUAGUUGGUGGGGUAAAGGCCUACCAAGGCGACGAUCCAUAGCUGGUCUGAGAGGAUGAUCAGCCACAUUGGGACUGAGACACGGCCCAAACUCCUACGGGAGGCAGCAGUGGGGAAUAUUGGACAAUGGGCGCAAGCCUGAUCCAGCCAUGCCGCGUGAGUGAUGAAGGCCUUAGGGUUGUAAAGCUCUUUCACCGGAGAAGAUAAUGACGGUAUCCGGAGAAGAAGCCCCGGCUAACUUCGUG
RNAcentral lists this ribosomal RNA (430 nucleotides) under uncultured bacterium. RNAcentral's name for it is "partial 16S ribosomal RNA". It matches the Rfam family "Bacterial small subunit ribosomal RNA", at positions 29 to 507 of the family's 1533-position model. The record is from RNAcentral.